CAUUCAGUCAAUAAUAAGUGCUGCUGUGAAGAGAACAAUUCUCAGACUGAAUGUUGAACAUCAGCUAGUUUCUCCUGUUGAUUUAAACCUUGUUGUAGAGAUGGAACAUUGGCUGUGGAUUAUUUUUGCUGCUCUUCUCUUUGAGUGUAAAGGAGAAGACAGAGUGAUCCAGCCAACAGGAGAUGCCAUUGCUACUGAAGGAGAGACAGUUACUCUUGGCUGUACAUUUGAGACCAGUGACACAUUUCCCCGUUUGUUCUGGUACAAACAAGAAGUAAAUGGCUUUCCAAAGUUCAUACUACAAGUCUACUCUGGAACAAAAGAUGCUGAAGACUUUCAGAAAGAAAGAAUGUAUGCUACAGUCAACAAGCCAUCAGUUCCUCUGAAGAUCCAGAAGGUUCAGCUGUCUGACUCUGCUGUGUACUACUGUGCUCUGCAGCCCACAGUGACAGGAAACACCAAAACUCUGUACAAAAACCUUUGGAGCAACGAUAACACAAUACUCCACAUUAUCCACUAGAGGGAGUAACACACUGUAGGUUAUCCCGGUGACAAUUUAACCUAUUAAGCACCCCCAGGACAAUU
This is a non-coding RNA of Perca fluviatilis (European perch), 585 nucleotides long. The record is from the annotation of a RefSeq genome assembly. Lineage: Eukaryota; Metazoa; Chordata; Actinopteri; Perciformes; Percidae.